GGCACAACCAUUAAGACCCUCAUCUAUAGUGGACUGGAACAAAGCACAGGUGACUGUAACACAGAUUGAUGAAAGAUUCUGCAGGACGACAAAGGUUAAAGAUGUAGACCCGGAGCUAGAAGCCAGCACUGACACUGAUGGAGUGGACUGCGAUGAGAAUGCCCACAUUAUUGUCCUAUCCUCUGAUAACCAAUGUAAUAUGAAAACCGACUACAGAAGAAAGGAACAAAUUAAAUCCAUUAAUCAAGCAUAUCUCUGCUAAACAGUUGUUCGAAACUGAUGAACAAAUGAAAAAUUUACUGUUUGUUUUCAUGCUUGCAAGGAUUGGGGAAGAAAAUUAAUUAUAAGUUGGGGACUAUUGGAAUAAAAUUGAAUGAUGUGAACAGGAAUGAGAAGAAUGCCAUUCAGGACAUAGGCAUGGGCAGAGACUUCAUGACAAAACACCAAAAGCAAUGGAAACGAAGCCAAAAUUGACAAAUGGGAUCUAAUUAAACUAAAGAGCUUCUGCACAGCAAAACAAACUAUCAUCAGAGUGAAUAGGCAACCUACAGAAUGGGAGAAAAUUUUUGCAAUCUACCCAUCUGACAAAGGGCUAAUAUCCAGAAUCUACAAAGAACUUAAACAAAUUUACAAGAAAAGACAAACAACAACAUCAAAAAUGAGAGAAGGAUAUGAACAGACAUUUCUCAAAAGAAGACAUUUAUGCAGCCAAUAAACAUAUGAAAUAAAGCUCAUCAUCACUAAUCAUUAGAGAAAUGCAAAUGAAAACCACAAUGAGAUAUCAUCUCAUGCCAGUUAGAAUGGCGAUCAUAUAGCUCCAUUCUAAGAGGAGGGGCCAUAAAAACUCUUCAGGUGUUCAGGUAUCCAUGUCAACUCACAUUCUCUGUGUAAUAAUUCUUUGAAUAUAUAAGCAUGCUGAUUUUCUCAAUGAGCAGUCACCUUAGAAAACUUUCACCAUGGCUUUGACAAUUACCAGUCUCCUUGAUCAUGAGCUUAUAGUUCCUUACCCUUGCCUCAAAUAACUGCUUAUUAAGGUGUAACAAAAAUGUGCUUCAUUCUUUGUUUCCCCUCAACUCCAGAAUCAUGGCUACCUCUUCUUGCUUUUCACUCUCUUUCCUUUCUUGAUUUCAGGCUUGUAUGUAUUUCAAGCAUCUACCCCAACCCUUCCCCCAUAUUUUGCUCCUAAACAUUAUUUUAGCUUCCCAAUUCUGGCUUUCUCACUGACACUAUGAUGCUCCUUUGUUCAUGCUUUCUGUUCCAACUAGCCUUCCCAGCAAGAAUAUCCCACAGCUUCACAGCUGAAAUUCCCACUCGUUUUACACUUUCAAACUCUCUAAUCUUCCCUUCCCACGGUUGAACUUAUUAUUUCUCUGAAGUAUCAAUAAACAUUUACUUCUUAAUUAACCAAA
This is a long non-coding RNA of Homo sapiens (human), 1409 nucleotides long. Ensembl annotates it as long intergenic non-protein coding RNA 2027. NCBI's taxonomy places the organism in Eukaryota, Metazoa, Chordata, Mammalia, Primates, Hominidae. The record is from Ensembl.